RNAcentral lists this ribosomal RNA (231 nucleotides) under Triticum aestivum (bread wheat). RNAcentral describes it as "partial small subunit ribosomal RNA". Lineage: Eukaryota; Viridiplantae; Streptophyta; Magnoliopsida; Poales; Poaceae. The record is from RNAcentral.
AUGGCCAACGUCACCGCCGAGAUGACCAAGGAAAGGAAGGUGUCAUGGAACUGCGCCGACGUUGAGGGCGUCUCGGGCAGCGUCACCCCGGCACCAUGCGCUCCGCUGCUGGGCACCCACGUCGGCUCCUGCCCGUUCCCCAUCGACACGCUCGCCGUCGACCAGAUCACUAUACAACAGUGCUCAUACUCCAUUGCGCUUGCUACUACUUCAGUGGCUGGGACACAGUAG